Molecule: ribosomal RNA, 497 nt
Filed under: uncultured bacterium
Lineage: Bacteria
Description: partial 16S ribosomal RNA
Rfam family: Bacterial small subunit ribosomal RNA
Source: RNAcentral
GACGAACGCUGGCGGCGUGCCUAAUACAUGCAAGUUGAGCGCUGAAGGUUGGUACUUGUACCAACUGGAUGAGCAGCGAACGGGUGAGUAACGCGUGGGGAAUCUGCCUUUGAGCGGGGGACAACAUUUGGAAACGAAUGCUAAUACCGCAUAAAAACUUUAAACCAAAGCUUUAAGUUUGAAAGAUGCAAUUGCAUCACUCAAAGAUGAUCCCGCGUUGUAUUAGCUAGUUGGUGAGGUAAAGGCUCACCAAGGCGAUGAUACAUAGCCGACCUGAGAGGGUGAUCUGCCACAUUGGGACUGAGACACGGCCCAAACUCCUACGGGAGGCAGCAGUAGGGAAUCUUCGGCAAUGGACGAAAGUCUGACCGAGCAACGCCGCGUGAGUGAAGGAGGUUUUCGGAUCGUAAAACUCUGUUGGUAGAGAAGAACGUUGGUGAGAGUGGAAAGCUCAUCAAGUGACGGUAACUACCCAGAAAGGGACGGCUAACUACGUG